RNAcentral lists this long non-coding RNA (8933 nucleotides) under Heterocephalus glaber (naked mole-rat). RNAcentral describes it as "lncRNA (ENSHGLG00100043925.1)". Lineage: Eukaryota; Metazoa; Chordata; Mammalia; Rodentia; Bathyergidae. The record is from RNAcentral.
CUUGAAGUCCACGCUGCCAGGCCCCCCUGGGGCAGUUAACACAAUGAAUGAUUUACUCAUUGCCAGUUCAUCUAUAUCAAAUUACAGGUUUUCUUGAGUCUCAACAUUGACUCAUUUUUUUCCUGCAGUUAAUGUGCUUGUGGAGUUGUUCUUUUGAAGGGAUGCCGGUUCUCCUUCUCAAUGCAGGAAUGAUCAUUUAUAGGUAAGGAGUAAAAAUGUGAAGACUUCUGCAAAUAUGAGGCUGGGUCAAACUGGUACCCCACCACCACCAUUCUCCCUACCUACCCAUCCAGAUCUAGGAACUUUAGAGGUUCUCUUUUCCUGCUGGAAUAUUGGAAACACAUCUACAAAGUACUACAUGAGUAGAAUGUUGGAAUUCUUAAAGAAAAGCGCUCACCACCUGAAAGGGAUAUAAGGUGACCAAGGGUCAAACUUCAGUGACCUUCAGAGGCCACCCUGCCAAUGAAGGAACCCGCUGUGUUACUGCAACCUAAUGCCAGUAUGGACUCAUGCAGCAAAAUGACAAAAAUCACUGAAGGGGAAACGGGCAUCUCAGCAAGUGAAAGAUAUAUUGGCUGGUCCUCUAUUAUCACCCCUCAUUUGUUUUUUGCUUAGUAGAAGAUUUCCUGAUUUGAAGAGACAGGUUUAUUUUGGAGACUGUGAAACACAAAUGCACAAAACAAAAGGCAUAUCUGGCAGCCUAAGAAGCAGUUUGCAGUUAAAAACACAAUGAUAUAGACCAAAUUUAUCUCUCAUUCCCUGAACCAGCAGCAGAAGCAGCCAGUGCACAUGUCUGGCAAGAUCUAAGGGAAGAAAAUCUGAACCAGAAAGAAUGUGGCUGGCUUGAGGUCUGACGCAAAAGAAAAAACUUAUAAAUUUCCUCAUAGAACUCAUAUUAAAAUGGGAGUUUGGAUUCAAGCAACUAAACACUGAAAUUAAAAUUCUUAUAUGGGGUAUUUGUAGUUUCCAAUUAUAUCUUUAUGAUAUUUUCUCUGUGGAAGUUGAUUGCUGUUCAUUAUAAUAAAUUACUUGAAUUGUCUGUAUCUUUACUUAACCAUUUCUUUUCAUGUCUUUGCUUUCUUUUGUUCUUUUUAAAAGUAGAAAAUGCUCAGUUGCUAAAUAAUGAAGACUUAAUUUUUUGUUUCUCCCAAAUUUUACCUUACUCAUGAUCAUUAAUAAUUUUCAGAAGGGUUCUGAACCCUUCUCUUUUCUUGUGAACUCUAGAAAAAUGCUAGCUCAGUAUGCAUAGUACUCCAUCCUUAACCAGCUAUGUUAUUGCUUUGAACCCUGUUCUCCAACUUACUCAAGAAACUGCAGUUAAAUAUUAUUGGGAUCCUUUUUUUUUCUAUAACAAACACGUUUCUAUGUAUUUUAUGGAUAAUUAAAUAAAACUUGAACUCUGGGCUUAAGGUUUUUCUCACUGACUUGUCAUAGGAAAUACAAAAGUAACAGAAAUGAAUUUGUGGCUUAAAAGCAUCUUUUAGAGGGCCAGGGAUUUAGCUCAGUGGUGCUGUCCACUGCCUCACAAGCGAAAGGUCCCGAGUUUGAUCCGGUACCAAAAAAAAGGCUUCUGUGACCUACAUUUUUUGAGACAAUGAAAGUAAGGAGUCAAGAUCUUACAUGAUAAAGUGAAAGACAUCACUACCAGGAAAGCCAGUUAUGUGAAACAACCGUGUGAACCAUGUAAAAGCUGGAGAGGGGUGUCUUGAGAACCAGGGCUCAGUUUUGUCACAAGGGUUAGGUCAAUAGAAUACCAGUGCCACAUGCCUGGCAGAGUUCUUGCCACAUAGAUGUUAGUUGCUCCCUGGAUUAACCCCAGCUCUUGCUUUAUGGAUUCCUUGCUGACAUACCAUCAUAUUUAUCAGUGCUCUUACCUGUUUCUUUCCUUUGUCAAGGUUGUCAUCCACCUGGCCCUGCCUACGCAGCUGCAGCUAAAGGGCAGGUUCUCAGAUCAUAUGCCUCUCCCCUACUUUAUUUCCUUUUUUAAAAAAUCACCAUUUGGGACUUAGAGUUGGCUACUCAGAUUAAAAAAGUGUCUAAUUUAAUUUGGAUCAUUGAACCUUCAUUUCACUUUGGCUCGUUCAACUUAUUGAAUCAGACCAAAUUCUCAUAGUCCCUCAGGAAAUACCAUCUUUUACCCACAAGUUGGCAAAGGACUCCCAUUUUCAAAGAGAUAUUCAACCCAAUAACCAGAGGAGGUCCUGUGGCAGUCAAGAUUGGUCAAGGAAACAUAGGUCACUAUAAUCAUGACUCAGCCCUGGUUAUUAUCAUUGGGACAUAAUUUCACCUCUCUGCUAUUUCUAGCCAAUCUAUUUCUUAUCUCUCUUCUGCUUUUUCCUUUAUAUUUCAGCAAAAAUUCUAAGGUCUGUGAUCCAUUUUCAUGUUCGCCAAGAUCACAUUGGCACAGAAAUUUUUCUGCAGCCUUCCCUUGAGGACAACAUCACACUGAAACUUUCUGACCUUAAGCUAAAGGCUGUGCAAGCCUCUUAGCUACUUGUCUUCUGAUCAGCUUCUACUCCCACCUCCUCUUUUACUCAUUCAUUUCUUUCUUCCUUUCCUUAACACAGGUACUCCAUAGUUCUUUCCCCAUCUCUCUCCAGCUUUCUUUCAUCUGACCCUGAAAGACAAAAUGCUGAUAAGCUCCCUUCCCUGCUUCAUUAAAAAAUUGCCAUUAAAAUUUAUAGCUGGUUUAGGCUGGCCAUCACUGAUCUUCUUGAUUUAGUUACCGCCAAGAAAUGCUUUAUGAUUAUCCACUGACUUAUUUAUAACAAACAUAACAAAGUCCUUGGUGUUAGCAGCCUGUAGAGAAAUUAUUUGUUUUGAAAAUAGAGUGGAUACUUAAAGUUCUCUGUGAAGAAUGGGAGUGUUUGGGUUUGUUGUACUUGCAUAUUUUAUAUAGAAAGGUAAAGUCUCCAAGCCUCAAUAUGUAAUAACAUCAAAUCAUUUUGUUGCUGUGUAGAAAAUGUGUGUUCUAAGGUUGCACAGAAAAUUUCCUAAUACUUCUUAAGCACUGGUUUCAGUAGGCCACUGGUGAGGCUGGUAAGUGAAAACAAAGUGUACUGGUGAGGAUUAAAUGAUUCAUUGGCGGAAACUGUUUGAACAUCUAAAUGUGAUGAAGUUAGUUGAUUGUAGAAGAGUAAUUUAGAAGCUAAUGUAAUAACCACCUGUCUUGAGUCUGCUAUUUGAAGGAUGGUCAGAGAAGGAAUGAAUGCAGUGUUUGAAAUGUCUCAAUAGUGUUGAGUGUUCUGAUAUGUGUGAAAGUGAUCUGUUCUCCUUGGCACUCUGUCAAUCACUACAUGAGUUUAAGGUGUUCUGCAGUAUCCAAAGUCUUUUAACAGAUGCCUUUUGUCCUGAGAAAAACAGUGCAAUCACAUAGAACAGGCCAAUAAGAACAGUUGUAAUGCUUGUUUCCAAGGAGAAAUUGUGGCUGUAUCUUCUGGAAGUAAACACCAACAUUAUGGUGCCAGUGAUUGCUUUAGCACUUCACUGUCACAGAAGAAAUCUGAUGUCCACAGAAUGGUCAUAAUAUUCUGCCUUCUGUGCUUAGGAUCUGGCAGUAAAGACCAAGUGUCCAUACCUGUACUACUAUUGAUUACUGUAUAUUCCUUUGCUGAAGGCAGUGCUAUCUUAUGGGGUGUUGCAGAUAUAGAAGAGCUUGGUGGUGAAGGUGGAAGAAUAAAGACUGGUUUCUGCUGGUUCAAGUGGACUUUACCUAAUAAAUAUGGGAGCCAAGAGUAGAAGAACCAAUCACAUCAGGGAAAGCCUUCAAUAGCAGUUUUAAUGAGGUGCCUGGAUAAUUCAGGAAGUGUGGCUAGAUAAACCAAGUUCAAGUGAGGGUCCCACGUGACCCAAUCAAUUUCCACAUGAUAAUCCACAGAAAGCACUGUGUCAAAAUCACAACAAUGACAACUGAAACCUAAUCUUUAUCUCUUAAAAAUCAGCAAGGUAGAUUCGGUUUAUAAUCCACCAUAAAACACCUCUCAAACUCCUUUUGGUUCCUUUCCAACUUCUCCGACUCCAAAGCUGCUCCAGAAACAUUCACAUCCCAAAUAUCAAAAUGCUUUUUCACAUACCAUGUGGCACAUGUGAGCUUUCAUCACUUAUGCACACCUUCAGCUCUUAGUUUGCAGGCUCUACUCAGCCUCUCUUGUUUUGCUUUGCUUUCUCUUGUCCUUUGUUGUUUAAUGUGGUUCUAGCAUUUAAAAAAAGAUUAGGAACUAGUUUGGUAAAAUUCUCUUAGAAGCUAAGACAAGGGCAAGUGAAGAGUCUGAGGUAAAUACAAAGUUCUCUCAUUAGCUGGGGUGGAAACAGCAAUCUCAAACCAUUGCUGUGUUAAAAUAUCUGGUCCUAUCCCAACCUACAGUAAGAGCUAACAUUUAUUAGGAGUCAACAAAGUUCACGCAUUUUGUUGAGUAUUUUUAUAUAAUUAUGACAUGAUAAUUCUAAUUUAUCUUACAAAUUUGUAACAUCACUGUAAAAAUAAGGAGACAGUAGUUCAGAACGACUGAAUAACUUGCCAAGGCCACAUCGCAGGUUAAUAACAGAAUUAGGAUUUCCGAACCUCAGAAACCCUGCAAACACAGUGUACCUCAGUUCAUGAACACUAGUUUGCAAACAAUUUGGUUUACAAACAGAAACUUUUGGAAAAAUUUUGUUUUUGUUUGCAAACUCUACAUUGGGUGGCAAACAUGCCCGCAGUCGUAUUUCCCACACAAACACCAUCAUGGCCAUCAUUUCCAAAAUCAUAGAAAAAAAAUUAAGUUCGUGAAUCAAGAUACCACUGUAUCAUAUUCUUAAUCAUUAUAAACUCUAUGAAUUAGCAUCUCUCAAUGGCUGAGAUUGUACUGAGAUUAAAGCAAUUACUGAAACAUUGAUGCUGUUUGAAUAUAAGAAAUAUAAUUUAAGAAAUAUAAUUUAAUUCCAUCCUUUUUUUGAGGUAAGUGUAUUAUUUUGGACCCAACUCUGUAUUAACAAGAUCUGUAUUAGCAAAGGUUAGACACUUGUCUACAAAUUAGUACUGAAAUGUCCCAAUAUAAAUGCUUGUGAUUUGGAAGAGAAAUUCAAAAUUUAAAACUUCUCUUAAAAUUUUUUUUAACUGUUUCCUAUCCUCUGCCCAAAUGAUCAGCAGGAAUUCUAUAGCCCAGGGUUAAAAUUCUGAAUUUGUUACCCCUGAGUGGUUCACACCUCUCCACUCUGCCUCUUCUUGGAAACUGGAGGAAGGUUUUAGGAAGGAGGGGGAUUAAAGAGCUCAUGAGCACGUGGCAGUGAUGGAGCAUGGACCAAACCAGUCCACCAGUUUCUCUGGACAAUAUGCCACAUCCAACAGGAAUUAUUCAUUACAUUUCUACUUUUUAAAAUAAAUUUUCCCUUUGGUAUAAAUGUUUUCUUGCUGUUUUUGUACCCUGAUCAAAAGUGAAGUGCUAUUUCUCUAAUGACAUUCAUCAUUACUCCUGGGAAGUUAAGCCUUAAGUUGACACUUUCCACUUUUCUCUUUUUGGCAGAUGCCUUCAACCAGUACAUGCUUGAGUCAGGAACUUUCCUCUUUUAGCUGUGCUAUGUCACUACAUUGGUAGUGAGUCUCAAGCCAACUCCUUUGGCUGCUGUUUGGUGAUCUUUCUAUUGAGAUUAGAGUUUGAGUUGUUUUUAUAAAGGACAUGAAACAGAGAGGGGAAGGUGAGGCUGAACAUAGAGCUCUGACCUUAUAUUUGGAGGCCUUGGCCUUCUAGGUUCUAACAAACAUCACAGCUUACAAAAAAUCAUUCUAAGGCUCCCAAACAAUUUCUUGACUCUGUUAUAGAUGGAGUUUAUGGAAUUAUUGUAAGAGAUCUGCACAUCCCUAUGUAAAGGGAAUAAAUAAUAUAUCUUACACAUAUAUGUGCCAUUCAUUUCACACAUGAAAAUAGGUAAUGUUGUAAUCAAUACGAUACCAAUUGUUUUCCUUACACUAAUACAAUUAAAUUUAUUUGAUAGUAUGUAUUUACUUAGAGAUUCUACUACUGUCACAAGAAAUUUAUAAACUCUCACAUAAGAAAGGAAUCCCCCCCCCCAACCCGGUACCAGGGAUUGAACUCAGGACCUUGCACUUGCAAGGUAGGCUCAGUACCACUGAGCUACAUCCCUGGCCCCAGGAAUUCUCCUUUUUAAAGAGUUUGGAAUCACUAAUCUAAAUAAUGGCGGCCCCCGCUGGGACUAGCAAAAUAGAAAGAAAUAUAAAAGAAGUCAAAAAUACAAAGGCACUGCUAAAAAAAAGCAAGAAGUCUCUGCCCAAAGCUAUCAAUUUCUGUAGGGAAAUUAGCUGACACAUCCUUGCUUUACCUUGGAGCUCCCAAAGGCUGCAGCUAGAUUUAGCAUGGGUGUUAGAGCACCGUGUGUCAGCAAACUCACAGGAAGAACCCAUCAUUUCUACUGAUAUUCUGUCUAAGCUUCAGAAUAGCAUAGCAUUCAGGUGCCUGCUUGUAUCUUAAUGUUUCUGACAUUUUCCUGAGGAGAAAUAAUAGAUUAUGAGUCAAUGUGCAAAGGGAUAAAUGAAGAGCUCUCUCCAAUUGUGAAAAUCCUGCUUCAAGUUGUUGAUCAAAAGGUUCAUCCAGAGAGCACAGCAGGUAAGUGAUUUUGCUGGUUUUUACCUGCCCCAAGUCCAUCUCCCCUUCUUCUGGUAACAGAAUCUUAAUUUUCCUUCAGAAAAUUGUCCGUCUCCACUGCUGAGCACAUAGUCCAGAAAUAGUCCCAAGAUUGCCCCUGGAAUUAAUCAGGAGGCAAAUUUCUUCAGAUGAGAUUUUGAAACUAGUUAGAAGUUAGUGCUACUUCAGGCCACUUUUGCUAUCAUUGAGGAGAGCUUGUGUAAGAAUAAAGCAACACAGAAUAGCUGGUCAGCAAAUGGGCAGAGGGAGAGGGAGAGGAAGAAGGAGAAGGAGAGAGAAUAUCUCCAAAAACAUUAGACUAUCUGAUCUGAAUAUUGGUGAUUUAGAUUUUUAGACAAGUCUCCUCUGUUGCUUACAUGUUUGACUUAGGGUAUUGUCACUGGCAUGUAAUGAAACCCAAGUAAUACAGAGUUGCCUUUUUUUAACCUUUGGUGAAAUUUGCCAUCUUCUUUGUGCAUUCCAGUUGCAAGGAAACUCCACUCUGCCAUGUCAGUACUCUUCGUUAGUCCACUAUGCUCCCUCUCUGUGGGGAGCAGGACUUUUUUAUGCAGGUCCAAGGAAAGGUGGGGGGAAUAAGAGACUUUGUAGUCUUCCUGGGGAACUUGGCUCUCUGAUGGCGCUGAAAAGACAUCUCAGGCCAGAAUGUUCCAAAAUGCAAACUGCAGCUUUCUUUCCAAAUGGCAACAGUGAAUGAUGGAUUGCAGUACACAAAAGGUUGCCAAUUUUUGAUAGAGCAGCCCAGUUGCUCAGCUGGGGACCCUGCUAAGAAGGAGGACUAUAAUAGUGUUGUUUUAUGGAGAUGGGAUAUUUUGAUGCUGACCCUUUGAUUUUGCUGCUAUUACUUUUUUACUAGUUCUUUUGUCAUUCUUGAUUCCCCUGCUGUGUUCCUUUCCAUUAUCUCUUUUCUUUGUCUGAAAUUGAACCCACAGAAUGAGCCUGUAAUCAGAGGACAUGAGAAUCCCUAAAUUGCUUUCAUUUUGAUUUUCUACUUUAUUAAUAUUCAGAAUAUGGAACAUAAAGGAGGCAUUUUGAAUCACUGUCUCUUCAACUUGGUCAUGCUACUAUGUAAUCCAUUGCAUGGAAAAUUUGAAUAUGCAUCAUAGCAUUUGAACCUGACAUUUCUAGAUCUAUUUGUAGUACAUUAUGUAGGAAAUUACUUCAGUCUUACUAGUACUGGGGAAAACUUCAUCAUGCAUUAUUCCACCAUCCUGAAAAAAGAAGCAAGUGGGAAGAUUUGUAUAUAAGGACAAUACAAGAACAGCAAUAUUCCAACCUAUUUAUAAAGAUUAAACUAACUCCCUCAGCAUAAUUAGACUUGACAGAUCCUCAAUUUUUGUGUUUUCUUGUGCUGUUAACAAAUAACCAAAUAAGGUCAUUGUUCUUCAGUGAUCUUUGCAUAGGAGUAAGAAAAAUUCAGAAAUUAAGUAUUUUAUAACAAAAUUAAAUUUUCCCUGGCUUAUGUAGGAGCUUCCGGAAAAGUUUUAAAAUAACAUUUCGAGUGUACUGAGCACUUUCUGUGAGCCAAACAUUUUGCAUAUGUUACCUUAUUUGAUCUGAGUACCUGGGACUAGAACAAUUAGUCUCCUUAUUUUAUAAGUGAAGAAACUGAGGGCUAGAGGGGCCAAGCAACCUGUUCAGAGCCAAGUGAAAGUUUCUAUGUCAAUCCCGAGGCCAAGCUUUCAGCAAUUACAGAAAGGAUAGGAAGAAGGGAGGUUGAAUUCUUGUUCUGUUAGCUCAUGGAUUCUUAAGGACUCCUAAAGUGAGGGGUUGGUGUGGGAGAGAACAAGGCAAAGCCAUUUCCUGUGUUGUUGGUUUCAGGCCUUUCAGGGGCAACAGAUCAGGAGAAGAUAAAUAAAGAUGGAUGGGGCAGGGGUGGUGGUGGUGGUAGUGGUGGCUGCUAGAAAUAUCUGUAGCAAUUUGCAAAGUUAAUUGUGGCAUCUUUUCUUACCGAUAGCUUGACAAUAGCUAGUGCCUAAGCCAUUUUGGCUUCCUAUCCAACUCCCUCAUGUCCCACACUCCUUUAUGGAGCUUAUUCUUUCUCCCAUUUCCAGACCUUUUUACAUUUUCUCCUACCCAGCAUACUUUUCUAUCCUUUUGCUUAGCCUUCAAGUCUAAUUUUGAAUGGUUUUUCAUCAUGAAGCUUUUGUUUGGUUGUUUGUUUUUGAGGGAGGGCCUCCUCACUAUGUAGUUCAGGCUGACCUUGAGUUCACUACAUAAUCCAGGCUGCCAUCCAACUCACAGUGAUCCUCCUGCCUCAGCCUCCCAAGUGCUGGGAUUACAGGUGUGUGCUAUGCC